UGAGCGCCAGCAUUUGGGGGUUCAUUUCCCGAGUGGGCUGCAUCAUCAGUCCCGUCCUUUUCCAUGGAAUGAGCGGCUCAGUUUGCAGCCGUUGCUUUGGCUUGGCUGGCUGGGAGGGGAGAAUCCAGUUUGACCUGCCACAGUGAAUUCCUUUCAACAGGUAAAACUCUGCCAAUACAAUGAGACCACCGAAAGAUUGCACUGUGGCCCGACCUUAGCCGGCUAUUCGUUCAGCUUUGUUUAUUUGGGGAAUUAACCAAGAGCUGACAAGCACUUAACAAUGGGCCUUUUCUACAAUGCUGCACUCUGGAGCAACUCAAACUCAUUAUUAUUUGUACAAUUGAAGCUUUUACUGCACAAUAGAAGUAAUCAACAUUGACAGUACAAUUACACAGAACCCACAGAGGACUAUAAGAAAGAUAUUUGACUUUCCAUGGCUGCAUUGAAGAAUUGCACAGUAGACAGGCAGGAGGCUGG
Chiloscyllium plagiosum (whitespotted bambooshark) is the source of this 477-nucleotide long non-coding RNA. RefSeq lists it as uncharacterized. The record is from RefSeq and is a predicted model, not a curated record. NCBI's taxonomy places the organism in Eukaryota, Metazoa, Chordata, Chondrichthyes, Orectolobiformes, Hemiscylliidae.